RNAcentral lists this ribosomal RNA (773 nucleotides) under uncultured Neocallimastigales. RNAcentral's name for it is "partial large subunit ribosomal RNA". It matches the Rfam family "Eukaryotic large subunit ribosomal RNA", at positions 23 to 634 of the family's 3401-position model. The record is from RNAcentral. Lineage: Eukaryota; Fungi; Neocallimastigomycota; Neocallimastigomycetes; Neocallimastigales.
AGAGAGAGACAUGCGCGCAUAUCAAUAAGCGGAGGAAAAGAAACUAACAAGGAUUCCCCUAGUAACGGCGAGUGAAGCGGGAAGAGCUCAAAUUUGAAAUCUUAAAGGGUUUCCCUUUACGAAUUGUAGUUUAAAGAAGUGUUUUCUGUUGAGGUUUUGGUAAAAGUUCUUUGGAAUAGGACAUCAUAGAGGGUGAGAAUCCCGUAUUUGACCUUUACUUUCAACUUUGUGAUACACUUUCAAAGAGUCGGAUUGUUUGGGAAUGCAGUCCAAAAUGGGUGGUAAAUUUCAUCUAAAGCUAAAUAUUGGCGAGAGACCGAUAGCGAACAAGUACCGUGAGGGAAAGAUGAAAAGAACUUUGAAAAGAGAGUUAAACAGUACGUGAAAUUGUCAAAAGGGAAGCGUUUGACACCAGUGUUGUUUCUCUGAAAAUCAAUUAAAGAACUGUUUAUGCUAAGUUGUUUAGACUUUAUCAGCUAACUGUUUAGUUUUGAGCUUUUCUUUAAUGCACUUUCAGUUAACAAGUCAACAUCAAUUUCUUUUGCUGUAAAAAAGCUUGAGGAAGGUGGCUUGAGAUUCGUCUUAAGUGUUUAUAGCCUCUUGCCUAUGCAGUCGGAGAGAUUGAGGUCUGCAGCGUAGAUCCUUCGGGGCUAAAUGCAUUUGUGCUAAGUUAUAGCAUUUUAUAGACAACUUGUUGACUAUGAUUUGUCUUGUAGCUUACUCGCUUAUGUUAUUUUACCUACGCUUAGGAUGUUGACGCAUGAGAUAUACGC